Molecule: long non-coding RNA, 1515 nt
Organism: Bombyx mori (domestic silkworm)
Lineage: Eukaryota; Metazoa; Arthropoda; Insecta; Lepidoptera; Bombycidae
Exons: 2
Source: RefSeq, a predicted model, not a curated record
GUAUUCGUGUUGUCUUAUACCUAUGUAACUUUUAUUACAUAAUUAGUAAUAUUACUACUAAAAGAAAACAAUAGCAUUGCUCUCCAAUAUUCAUACAUUUAAUCUCUUAAAGCUGUAAAAGUAACAUAUGAUAUACAAGUAUAACAUUUAAUCUUAGUACUAAAUGUUAUUUCGGGUUCGGUAAUUAUUUCGAACUACAACUCGACCAAGCUAAGUUUGCACCUCGCUGGAAUGCGGCACCCCGCCCGCUUCCCCGCUCACCUUCCCGCGAUCACCCUGUCGCAUCAGUAUGGUUAGCAUCUUUGUCGCCAACACGUGAGAUACGAGUUUUCGCCUCCCUAUCCGUUGUAUUUUAAAUUGUUCUUGUUAGGUUUUUUGUUGAAGUUUAGUUAUAAUAAUAAUAAUAAUAAUGUUUUUAUUUCAAGUAUCCAUGACUCAUAUAAAUUGUUAAUAAGACUUAGACCUAUGUUAGUAGUUAUAUUUACAUCACAAUGAAUUACUGUGGUAACAUCCCAUGGGAGAUGGCACCACAGCGACCCAUGUUUAUACAGUCCAGCCUGCUUGCGAUCAUGCUCAGGAUACUGUUGGAGCUGAUAUAUAUUAUUAUAUUAUAUUAUUGAACUAUUUUUGUUAAGUUUUUAUUGAACUGUUGUUACUGAGCGGUUAACGUUCAUUUUUUUUUACUUCGAGAAGGUUGUUGUUGGCAACAAAAAUGAAAGCAAAGGUGAUGCACAGUGAAGGGAGAAACAUAAUCCUGAAAAAGAAACCUAAAGGAAAAUUAUUACUGAACAAUUGGGAUACAAAUUUAAAAGGUGCAAGAACGCCCGGGUAAUCUUAAUACAAAUACCCGACAUCGCUAUAUUUUAAUGUACCUAUGUAUAAUAUAUUGUUAAAAACAAUAAAUGCAUCUUUACAUUUUUAAAGUCAUAGCGUAUCCUUUUUUCAGACCAUAACUAAGCGGCAAUGUAACGUAAUCGAUGCGAGGUGCAAACUUAGCUUGGUCGAGCUGUACAUUAUUUUCAGACUAUAGACAACUUCUUGUUUUUUAAAGAAUCUUUUACUUUUUUACUGGAGUUCAACCAAAGGAUAUUUAACAUACAUGAAAGCUUGUACAGAUUAUGUUUUUUCGUGAUUGAGUAGGUACUUGGGAUGCCCUUAAUUUAUUUUUAUUUCAUAAUUUAAUAUGUGCUAAUAGAUUUGUAACAUGUUCGACUAAUUACUUGCGAAACAUGCGAAUAUUUACAAAUAUGAAUGGAAUGCAACCUAUAAAUUCAUUGAACCUUAUUAGGUAUUCAAAAAGAAUAAAUAUAUAUUUUUACACUUCAUGUAUGUUUGUUCACAGAAAUAAUAAACUAAGGUUUUGGAGAAGGUUCUUGAGACUGUCUUGAUGGUUGUCUUUUGUGAACAUUUGGUUUUCGCAGUCUAUGAUAAUUAGGCAUCACUUUGCUUAAGAAAUCAAGCUGCAAUAACUGAGAGGGCUGUUUCUCUAAAGCUUCUCUAACAUGAUGCUCUGAG